This 492-nucleotide ribosomal RNA is filed under the name uncultured bacterium. Its description in RNAcentral is "partial 16S ribosomal RNA". It matches the Rfam family "Bacterial small subunit ribosomal RNA", at positions 29 to 507 of the family's 1533-position model. The record is from RNAcentral.
AGCGAACGCUGGCGGCAUGCCUAACACAUGCAAGUCGAACGGCAGCACAGUAAGAGCUUGCUCUUACGGGCGGCGAGCGGCGGACGGGUGCGGAAUACAUCGGAAUCUACUUUUUCGUGGGGGAUAAUGCAGGGAAAUUUAUGCGAAUACCGCAUACGACCUACGUGUGAAAGCAGGGGAUCUUCUGACCUUUCGCGAUGGAAUGAGCCGAUGUCGGAUUCGCUAGUUGGCGGGUUAAAGGGCAACCUAGGCGACGAUCCGUAGCUGGUCUGAGAGGAUGAUCAGCCACACUGGAACUGAGGCACAGUCCAGACUCCUACGCGAGGAAGCAGUGGGGAAUAUUAGACGAUGGGGGAAAGCCUAAUCCAGCCAUACCGCGUGAGUGAAGAAGGCCUUCGGGUUGUAAAGCCAUUUUGUUGGGAAAGAAAAACAGCAGGUUAAUACCCCGCUGUUCUGACGGUACCCAAAGAAUAAGCACCGGCUAACUUCGUG